UCCCAAGGCGGCGGGGGUCCCCGGGGCGCUGCGUCCCUCGGAGCCCCGGAGAGCUGCAGGGCGGGUCUUUGUCGCGUUGAGACAAAGCCGCUGAACCUGGGCUCUCGCCUGUGCAGGUGCGCGGGCUCGUUCGCGGGAGGCGUGCGCUGGGGGAGCGGGCUUCCUGCACGAGGUCACCGCUCAGGGGUUGAUUGGACGGAAUCUCGCGACACCCCAGGCACUGGCGCUUGUGCCGGAUCCACGUGAGAGUUCUCCGGGUUUGCUUUUAUGAGGUUUUGGGGUUUUUUAAUAUUUGGUCGAGUAAUUUGCUGUUUGGCAUCUUGGUCCACCAUCCCAUAGUUACGUAAAAAGUUGCACGUGGAAUUCACUACGUAGACUUAGAAACUUAAGCUAUUUUAGAACAAGGGACUGCUUUCCUAAUCAUGUAACAGAGCACAUCCUAACCUGAUACCAGGCAGACGCUGUUUGGUGUGGGGAAGGGAGGUCUUACCGUGGUACCUGAGUUCACUCAGCUGCCAGCCCCUCCCUGGGUCUGUGAGAACUCCCGGCUGCGGUGUGAGGGACCAGCCUUCCAGCGCUGGCUGCCCAGCGUUUACACGGUGGUGAGAUCCCGACCCACACCAUGUCCUGCAUGAGCCGCGGUCACUGAGCGCUUCACCUGGAUUCUCUUAGACUUGUUGGAAGGAGGACUCUUGGAGACUCAAAAAGGCAAAUGUAUUUCCAUGAAUAGAAAUAUAAUCCAACAUAUCUCUUCUGGGCCCAAUUUAGUUUGCAUUAUCAUUUUUUUAUUGCGUAGGUUUCUGGCCUUGGUGGGAAGCUAGCUGUGAGUGAAGAUGUGCUGAAAUUUCACAAAAGUAUGGGAAAGGUGGUAGAAAUUGAAACGCAGUCAUUUUUUUUUUCCUUCAGAUUUUCACCAUUAAAAUGGUGAAUUAAAUGUUCAUGCUGGUUCAUCCUUUCCCAUGAUGGAGUGUGCACAGAACCCUGAUUUGCAGCUCUGCUGUUUCUCUCUGUUUAUUGAAAGCAUCUACCUCACAGGACUGCCAGUACUGGAGCAUUACCCUAACUGGCCAUGAAUACAACUAUUGACAGGACAGAGGAUUAUGGAUUUUUGCAUCUCCAGCUCCAUACGUGGAUUCUGUGAGAUGGUCCCCCAUUUGCCCCGCACCGUUUGGUGAAUGCUCCAUGUUUUCUCCGUCGACAUGAAACGCCUCCCAGGAGAUUCUUGGGCAGACUUCAUGGCUUCUGAGCUGAGCUUGUGGUGACAGUGGUUCCUCUUUGUGAAACCUCUCCAGGCAGGCAGAGACCUCAAACACGCCACUGAGAGCUGCAAACAAGUCAAACCUGCACCAGUACCGGCGUAUGUGAGGUCUCCAAAUUGCAGCCUGGAAUGAUGUGAGCGCAUGAUUCCCAUCUAGUUGGUUUCUCCACUCCACAUACCGUCUCUCCAAUAAAGUCAGGAGGUGACAGGGAAUAGUCACAUGGUUUUGGUUGUUUGUUUUGCAGACUUUACUCCGUCAACAUGUGAGGAAGACCUGAACUUAAUAUUUGCAAAGCACUUUGAACUACGGAGAAGAAAGGUGCUAUGUAAUCCUCGUGUUAUCUUUUAGAUUUUGAGCAUGUUACUGUGACAUCAGCAUCCUAGGCUUAAUGAAGUUUUAUUUCAGCUAAUAUAAGUUCAUCCUUCUGUGUUCAACUAGCUGUGAAACCAAGCCACUGGGUGUGGAUUAUGAGGGCUGAAGCUUUGGGGAGUGCGGUGAAAUUUUUCAGAAUUCGUGAUAGCAUAUAAGACCACUGAAGCCGGUUUACCUGCCUUCUAUCUACAAGGAUGCUUUUUAAACUAGGACACACGUCUAUUGUUCAGUGAUAAUUAUAGUGAUAAUGCUGACACCAAGAUACUGCAAAAUCCUGCUGCACCUUUUGAAUUAAGUUCUGAAUCAUCAAAAAUAAUUAUAAUAUAAUUUAA
This is a long non-coding RNA of Globicephala melas (long-finned pilot whale), 1963 nucleotides long. RefSeq lists it as uncharacterized. The record is from RefSeq and is a predicted model, not a curated record. NCBI's taxonomy places the organism in Eukaryota, Metazoa, Chordata, Mammalia, Artiodactyla, Delphinidae.